AAUCAACGCUGGCGGCGUGCCUCAGACAUGCAAGUCGAACGAUUAAAGCUCUCUUCGGAGAGUGUAUAGAGUGGCGCACGGGUGAGUAACACGUAAGUAAUCUACCCUCGAGUGGGGAAUAACGUCCGGAAACGGACGCUAAUACCGCAUAAUGCAGCGGCACCGCAAGGUGACAGUUGUUAAAGGAGAAAUUCGCUUGAGGAGGAGCUUGCGGCAGAUAGCUUGUUGGUAAGGUAACGGCUUACCAAGGCUACGAUCUGUAACCGGUCUUAGAGGACGGUCGGUCACACUGACACUGAGUAACGGGUCAGACGUCCUACGGGAGGCAGCAGUCGGGAAUUUGGGCAAUGGGCGAAAGCC
Molecule: ribosomal RNA, 360 nt
Filed under: uncultured bacterium
Lineage: Bacteria
Description: bacterial SSU rRNA
Rfam family: Bacterial small subunit ribosomal RNA
Source: RNAcentral